RNAcentral lists this ribosomal RNA (484 nucleotides) under uncultured bacterium. RNAcentral describes it as "partial 16S ribosomal RNA". It matches the Rfam family "Bacterial small subunit ribosomal RNA", at positions 28 to 507 of the family's 1533-position model. The record is from RNAcentral.
AUUGAACGCUGGCGGCAUGCUUUACACAUGCAAGUCGAACGGCAGCGCGGGCUUCGGCCUGGCGGCGAGUGGCGAACGGGUGAGUAAUGCAUCGGAACGUGCCCAGUAGUGGGGGAUAGCCCGGCGAAAGCCGGAUUAAUACCGCAUACGACCUGAGGGUGCAAGCGGGGGACCGAAAGGCCUCGCGCUAUUGGAGCGGCCGAUGUCGGAUUAGCUAGUUGGUGGGGCAAAGGCUUACCAAGGCGACGAUCCGUAGCUGGUCUGAGAGGACGACCAGCCACACUGGGACUGAGACACGGCCCAGACUCCUACGGGAGGCAGCAGUGGGGAAUUUUGGACAAUGGGGGCAACCCUGAUCCAGCCAUGCCGCGUGCGGGAAGAAGGCCUUCGGGUUGUAAACCGCUUUUGUUCGGGAAGAAAUCCUCUGGGCUAAUACCCCGGGGGGAUGACGGUACCGGAAGAAUAAGCACCGGCUAACUACGUG